This 253-nucleotide ribosomal RNA is filed under the name uncultured bacterium. Its description in RNAcentral is "partial 16S ribosomal RNA". It matches the Rfam family "Bacterial small subunit ribosomal RNA", at positions 524 to 776 of the family's 1533-position model. The record is from RNAcentral.
UACAGAGGUCUCAAGCGUUGUUCGGAUUCAUUGGGCGUAAAGGGUGCGUAGGUGGUCGAGUAAGUCUGAUGUGAAAUCUUCGAGCUCAACCCGAAAAUGGCAUUGGAUACUAUUCGGCUGGAGGGUUGGAAGGGGGACUGGAAUUCUCGGUGUAGCAGUGAAAUGCGUAGAUAUCGAGAGGAACACCGGUGGCGAAGGCGAGUCCCUGGACAAUCCCUGACACUGAGGCACGAAAGCUAGGGGAGCAAACAGG